GUGUUUUUGAGGGGACAUUUGAGCCAUUGGUGAGAUACCACUCUUAUAAAGCUAGAAUUCUAACCUUAUACCGUUAGCCGGUUAAGGAACAGUCUCUGGUGGGCAGUUUGACUGGGGCGGUCGCCUCCUAAAAGGUAACGGAGGCGCACAAAGGUUUCCUCAGAUCGGUCAGAAAUCGAUCGUAGAGCGUAAAGGCAUAAGGAAGCUUGACUGCGAGACCUACAAGUCGAGCAGAGACGAAAGUCGGUCUUAGUGAUCUGACGGUUCCGAGUGGAAGGGCCGUCACUCAACGGAUAAAAGUUACUCUAGGGAUAAC
This 316-nucleotide ribosomal RNA is filed under the name uncultured eukaryote. Its description in RNAcentral is "LSU rRNA". It matches the Rfam family "Bacterial large subunit ribosomal RNA", at positions 2163 to 2478 of the family's 2925-position model. The record is from RNAcentral.